CUGCCCAUUGCCUGAGAGUAAAUCAGUAUGGAUGACUUCAGUUUUACCACUUAACGUCAUUUUUGAGAAAGAGGAAGGCACAAAUCAAGAAAUGGAAAAAACCUUUCACCCACACAGUAAAAUCUCCAGUGUUGAAAUCCCAGUGUUAAGGACUUUUAGAGUAAAGAGUUAAAGUUGUGGUGUUGAAUUUUAAAGGAUUAACACUAGCUAGUGUAAACAGCACCCUCUGGCCGGUGUUAAUACGGAGAAUUACCCUCAUUAACACUGUUGAGAGUUAUUAGUGACAUCCGGGACAUUUUCUCGUGUGCGCGCCUAAUCCGUCUGAAAUAUUUUUCACAGACGCCAUUUUCUUUGCUCGCGAUGCGGAGCAUAUUAGGACGGAAAACGGCGAUAUAAAGUGUUUAAUCCUACUCACAAAGUGUGUUUUGUAAUAUCAUAUCGUUUUAUAAUUAUGUGUUCAAUGUGUUGGGUGCGGCUAAAAACGUUUAUCAAUGGCAUUUCCUUUCACUCGCGAUGCGGAACAGACGAGGACUUUUCUAAAAGGGAAUAUCCGAAAAGAGAUAUUUUCUUUCUCUCGCGGUGCGAGCAGACGGGGAAGUUGGUUUUAACAAGGAAAACGCUGAAAAGAGAUAUUUUCGUUCACUCGUGAUGCUCCGGAGCAGAUGAGGAAGUUGGUUUUAACGAGGAAAACGCCAAAAAUGGUUCAUGCUGGCUUAACAGAAAAAUCAAAAGAAGAUGAUGUGCUUGAAGAGUAUGAAGCCACCAAUACAUGGGAGUCGUCCAACCUCAGUGCAGAGAGAUCAAUGUGCACUUGGAAUUGUGACUUUGUCUCUGAAAAAGACCCAUUUUCUAGGGCAGUUUUGUGAUGCUGUAAAUAGGAGUGGAUAUCUUGCUUGGCUGAAAACUGCAGAGAAACGCAUCUCAUCGUGCUGAAAAAAAGAAUGAGAGUAUUCACUCCAAGGAGGUCCAAACACCAGCACAGACUUUGAUUAGUGAGCAUUAACAUGCAUUCAGCUUUUAUGGUAAUGAAUGGAAUGCUGUUGUUUAACCUCCUAAAUGUCAGCAUUAUAAACCUUAUGAAUGGACCAAAUAAGAAUGUUUUUUGUGUUUUUGCACUGAUUUGCUUCUACAUUAUGAUGUUUAAUUGUUGUAAGAACAUGUUCUUUACAUGUAUUGAAAACAUUGAGUGUGAAGACAUUUUGGUGUAGGGAAAAAAUAUUUACAAUGUUUCAAUAAAAUAAAUAAAUGUA
Molecule: long non-coding RNA, 1250 nt
Organism: Onychostoma macrolepis
Lineage: Eukaryota; Metazoa; Chordata; Actinopteri; Cypriniformes; Cyprinidae
Exons: 6
Source: RefSeq, a predicted model, not a curated record